RNAcentral lists this long non-coding RNA (4007 nucleotides) under Elaeis guineensis (African oil palm). RNAcentral describes it as "long non-coding RNA (EGUI_LNC009032)". Lineage: Eukaryota; Viridiplantae; Streptophyta; Magnoliopsida; Arecales; Arecaceae. The record is from RNAcentral.
CCUAAGAGAGUUAGCUCGAUUGAACUUGGGAUUGAGUCAAAAUUAACUUGGGGUUGACUUAUAGUCUGAAGGAGUUGGCUUAAAAACAAGCUGAAAAAUAUAGCUCCCUAUCUUACCUUGAGAGAAUCAACUCGUAGAAACUUGAGGUCGACUGAUAGUUGUGUGCCACUAGAAAUUUUGCGUAUCAAAAUUAUCUCUUUAAAAUUGGGGGCCGACUUUUGACUUCGUCCUUCACUUUUCUCACAAUGUAGCUUCCCAAACUUGCUAUUCUUGGUCUCAAAUUUUUACAAUUUAUUUUUGUAUUUUUGAAUCAAUUUAGCCUCCUAAAAACUUUCUCAAUAUACACUUAACAAACUAUUAGUUUCAUAGUAUAUUCAAAUAAUUUAUAUUUAUCAAAAUCAUUUCUUAGAUCAAUAAACUUCAAGUAUAUAUAUACAAUUGUCUUUUUUGAACAUAGAACCUAAUCUUCUUAUACUGAGUCUUCUAAUAGCUCAAGCUUUGGGAAAGCUUCAAAAUCAACUGAUAUACUAAAAACCUUAUAAAUGCUAAGGCACAAUAAUCAUCUCUAUCAAGCAUACCUUUUUAUUGCUUGAUCUCUGAAGCUUUUCAAUCUUAGCCAAUUCUUUAUCAUCAUGACCGACUAAAUCUCCACAAAAAAUAUUCAUAUCUUAGAUAGCUUCCACAUAUGACUCUUCCCUCAAUAUGGAUCUCUAUAAUCGGAUUAACUAUUACAUCCUUUGAUUGUUUUUGAGCAACCAGUCCUUCAAAUAUGAUAUCUUCUGAACUUAAUAUGGUAUUCAUUUGAUCAAGCUCCCCUUGCUCCAAAUUUUUUUGUGAACCUCAUUGAUUCUCAAACCGAUCAACCUUCUCAUGUUUUGAGUCUUCAGAAGUUGAUCUAGUCUCUAACUGAUCAAACUCUCCAAAUUUCAAAUCUCCAUCUUUAAAUGAAUUUUAUUCUUCUUCAAGAUCUUUAGAGAAGUUUGAAAAUGGAAUCUACUCUUUAAGUGAUUUUUAUUUUUAUGAUGUCUUAUCUUACUAAAACUUGAGUAAAUGGUCACAAGAAUAUCCCAUGCAUUUUUCGACUCCUUUACAUCUUGAAUAUGAAAAUAAUUUUUUUUAUCAACUGAAAUUUGAAUAAUCCAUUUUUUUUUUUCUAGAUUUUAGAUUCUUCUUUCUUCAUGCAAUCUCAUCAUGGAGAAUAUCUAUUGACAUCAUUUCCUACUCAUCUAAUAUACCUUAUAAAUUCUAUCCUUUCAAAUAAGACCUGACAAGAUCUUUUUAUAUUGGAUAAUAGGUAUUGUACUUAACUUACAUAGAGAAAGAAAAUUCAUAAAGGCAACCAUAUUGAUGUUGAUACCAUUAAGCAUCUCAAACCCAUUGAGAUAAUAGGUAGGAGCAUCUGUCUCAAAUCCAUUGAGAUAGAUGUUGAUGAUUCACUUCUUAAAUCAUUAAAACAAGAGUUUACAUGCAUGUACCACUAUACAAUGAAUUACUACAAGCUCUUUAAUCAUAUUGAGCUAUGGAUAUAGGAAUUAUUAAUAAUUAAGUCACCACUUCAAAAAUUACCCUUCAAUAAAUCUGAUUGAAGCCGCAAAUCACUUGAUGACUCUCCAAGUUUAUGGCUCUAAUACUAUGCAGAGCCAUAAAUAGAUGAGCCACCAAUCUCAAAAUCUAUAGUUCUAAUACCACAUAGAAUUUCAUAUUACUUGGAGUAGAUCGAUCAUGCCACCUCAAGAUGUAGAAUAAAACCAAACAUAAAAAUAUUUGUACAAAAUUAUGCGAAGAAAAAAAUUAUAGAAGAAAAAAAUUUGAGAGAGGAAAAAUAAAGGCCAAAAUAAUGAAUUUGGUUCCCCUCAUAAAGAUGCCUCAUAAAAGAGGCUCUACAUACAAAAAAUAAUCUCUUCUUUCUUUUUCUUCCCAUACCCUUUUUCACACCUCAAAGGAGAUGCUAAAAGUCUCUUUAAAUAAAACAUCACCUAGAUGGAUGUUUGACUUCUACUUGAACUCAUCAAAAAACCAAAAUCCACUAAAACAAACUCUAAAAAAGCUUGUAGAAGGAAUAAUUAAGUAGAAUAGUAUAAAGAAUAGAAUCCUAAAAUUAUUAAAGCUAAUGACUAAUUAAAAAUAGAAUUCCAAUUGAAUUAGGACUUGGCAAUGAAUAUCAAGAAAUCCAUACCACCUUGGAUGGAUUUUUGUUUACUAGAAUUCUAUGUCCUAUUUCAGUUGAGUGUGGCCAUCUAUAAUUCUUCAGAAUAACUUUAUUUCCUUCAAAUAAAUGGAAUUUUCACUUUAUCAUAAUAACAAAACCAUGAAGAAGACACCACAUUCAUGAAAUAGUGUCAUUUGUAUAAACAUAAUAAAUUAAAAAUGAUUAAAAUGAGUUUACAAUGAUAAAUUUAUCUUGAUAGUUCGAGCAUGUUGUAGCCUUACUCUCUACUCUCGAUUUAUUUCUAAUUAAAUAAAGAAAAUCCUAAUAUUAAAUUAUAUAAUUCAAUUCAUUGAGAAGAUUGUAACUAUACUUAGAAUAAUAGUAAAGUGUCAUAAUGGGGUUCUAUAAAGCUAUUGUUAGAGAAUAAAAUGCGCAUUAAUAAGAUGGAUCUUAAAUCUUCCUACCAAGCUUUGAUCCUUUGAGAGAUAACUAGCUUAAAUAAUUACAUUAGCCAACAAUCAACACCAUUUCAAAAAAGUAUUGCAUGAGGCCAAAAACUAACUGACUAUGAAUCAAAAUAUAUUUUCAAGCACUAAUUCAAUCACACUAUCAUCUGCGAAAAAACAUCAAAGUUACUUUUUUGCUGGAUUUUUCUUGAUGUAAAUGUUGAUCUAAGUGUUACCUACUUUGCUAUCAUUGAACUAAAUGAAACCAUUUUUUUAUUAAUAACAAUACUAAGCAUAAGAGGCCAAAAUUAAUUAACACCUAUGUUACAAAGUCUAUUUCAAGUCUGAUGAUAGAUAAAGUAAACUCACCAAUGAACCAUAAAAACAAUUGCAGUUUCGUAAGCAUGGAAAAGGAGAACUGUAAAAUUGACUAUAUCAUUCACAAUGAUCUUCAAGCAAAUAUUGGUCUCUCACUAACCAAAAAAUAACAUAUAAUAAACUUGAGAUCCAAAAGAUAAAUCAAUACCUCUUUCCAAGUCCUCUUCCUCGAGGUAACACAAAGAUAAUGAUAGCAAUUACAUGAUAGCUAAGCAAAGAUAAUGAUCAAGUCCCCAAGGAAAAAUAUGAUAAAGAUAAACUUUCUCAUUUAAGUCCAAUGAUUAAGAAAGAUGAAGACACAUAUGUAGCGAAAUUUAGUGCAGGGGCAAANNNNNNNNNNNNNNNNNNNNGUGUUCAAAAUACAUCACCUUUUGCGGGUAGUCGAUCACCACAAUCUGAUCACCGUCGGGGGGCUCUAAUCAUCACGUCGCAGCCACACAAAUAUCUGACCUCUGUGGAUCGUCCACACGAAGCUCUCGUCUGAUCAGCUCCUCACAAAUGCUAGUUCGUGAUUUCAUCCUUUUGAUGGCAGAUGUUGAUCGAACUCCUUCGAUUAAUGUGUGCCGACUCCUCGGAUGCUCCAGAUCAUUUGCACAAUUGCUUGAGAGGCUGAUGGAUCUCUCUCUAAAAUUUGGUGGACUCACGACACUCGUGGCACACCAAUCUCACUUCCCAAACCCUAGGUAGAAACCCUAGGGUACACACUAGAAACCCUGCGCUCAAUUUUCUUUCUUUUCUUUCUUUUUCUCUCGGAAGGUUUUGGACCUUCACCUUGCGCACAAACUUUCCUCACGCCCCAAAGUUUCUCUCCUAAAAUUUUUACGCAUGUCUCACCUUUUUCCUCUUUUUAAAACAACAUCGAACGUGUCUUAUCCGCGUGAGAGGAUAAAGAUAAGUGGUUGCACAUUUGAAUUCAAAUCAAAUUUGAAUUCAAAUGCAAAACCAACUCAUCCCUAUCCUCUUGUGCGUGAGAAGAGAAGGGCGUGAGUUGAUUUGUGCAUGGAGAGUUUACACGAGAAAUAUUUUCUCGUGUA